AGCAGCCGCGGUAAUUCCAGCUCCAAUAGCGUAUAUUAAAGUUGUUGCAGUUAAAAAGCUCGUAGUUGAAUUUCGGGGUCAGUAGAUUGGUCGUGCCACUGGUAUGUACUGGUCUUACUGGCUCCUCCUUCCUGAUGAACCGUAAUGCCAUUAAUUUGGUGUUGCGGGGAGACUGGACUGUUACUUUGAAAAAUUAGAGUGUUUAAAGCAGGCUAACGCUUGAAUACAUUAGCAUGGAAUAAUGAAAUAGGACGUUCGAUCUUAUUUUGUUGGUUUCUAAGAUUGACGUAAUGAUUAAUAGGGAUAGUUGGGGGCAUUAGUAUUCAAUUGUCAGAGGUGAAAUUCUUGGAUUUAUUGAAGACUAACUACUGCGAAAGCAUUUGCCAAGGAUGUUUU
RNAcentral lists this small RNA (396 nucleotides) under uncultured Glomus. RNAcentral describes it as "SSU rRNA". It matches the Rfam family "Eukaryotic small subunit ribosomal RNA", at positions 569 to 970 of the family's 1831-position model. The record is from RNAcentral. Lineage: Eukaryota; Fungi; Glomeromycota; Glomeromycetes; Glomerales; Glomeraceae.